GAAAACAUCCACGUCUGACGGCGAGGUCCUCACCUCGAAGCAGACCCGGGGAUGACGUGGAGCGAGUGCUUCAGGGAAGUGUUGCAGAUCGAUAAACCCGAAGGGUCCCACUCUGGUGUGAAACGGAGCUCAUGAUCACUGAUUUGCGGGUCCUGUGACAGGUAAGCGCCGUAACACGCAGAGCAUCCGGGAGCGUGCCCAGCACAGGUCCGUGGUAUUUUCUCAGCGAAGCCGCG
Eptesicus fuscus (big brown bat) is the source of this 236-nucleotide long non-coding RNA. RefSeq lists it as uncharacterized. The transcript is spliced from 3 exons. The record is from RefSeq and is a predicted model, not a curated record. NCBI's taxonomy places the organism in Eukaryota, Metazoa, Chordata, Mammalia, Chiroptera, Vespertilionidae.